Long non-coding RNA from Chinchilla lanigera (long-tailed chinchilla), 3258 nucleotides. RefSeq lists it as uncharacterized. The transcript has 2 exons. The record is from RefSeq and is a predicted model, not a curated record. NCBI's taxonomy places the organism in Eukaryota, Metazoa, Chordata, Mammalia, Rodentia, Chinchillidae.
AUAAAACACAAACACAUGAGGUGAAGAUCUCCCUCAAAAGGCCAGCUGACCCACUGGGCACAGGCAGGUGCUAGGCCUAUCCGAGGCCUCCGUACACCCGGGCCAGAGAGGACAAGACCAGAAGAGGGCCACACAGAGGCCUGGAGCAGCCCAGUAGCACAGUCUCGGCAGGAGGGCAACUUAAGCAGCCUCACAUGUCCAGCAGACGCAUCUUCCUGCCUCAGGGGAGACAGGCAGGCCAGUGAGAGAAUGAGGAAGGUCUGAGCUGGGGCCAACGUGCAGCUUUCCCAGAUCUGACAACAGAAUGGGGAACCCCUGCCACUGAAGUAGCCAAGCACUGUGCUUGCGGGGAACGACCAGUGUUGAAGACAGGGAGAAGCAAGCAGCCAUCUGGACUUGACCCUGAAGGCCAGACAGCUCCCAGCCCUCCAGGCCCAGGCAGGCCUUGGCUGCUGCUACACACUCAUGGGGCCAGAGAACAUGCUCUCCUUCCAAAGGCAGAGAAGCCCACAGGCCUGUGCACUUGGGGGCCAGUCUCAGAGAGCCAACUCCACAGCCACACAUGCUGUGACCACAGUCUGAGGGCUGGAGGUGGGGAUGGGGCGGGGGGAGCAGAAAGCAGCCAGUAAAGACUCUUUCCCCAAGUGUCACGCCCUUGCAUGGUGUCCUCAGGGCAACCUGUUCCUUCUGGAAGCCCUUCUGGGACUCAGGAUCCCACCUGGCUCUGCUACCAUUAGGUCCUGUUACUUCUGUGCAGGCAGGUAGAGAAGGUCCCGCCCAGGGCCAGCCUGCAGCAGGAUCGAGGAGGGGUGCCUGGUUCAUCUCUCCAUCAGGGGGACGUGCAACCCAGACGCUCAGAUCUGUGCCCGUCACUGUAAGCGAUAGCCACCCUAACCAAACAAACUGGUUUCAUUUUGACAAGCUGACCUAUUCCCUGUAGCUGCUGCCCGUAUUAGCCUUUUUAGGUUACUGCAGAUGAUGGGAAUAUGCUUCCCCCUGGAAACUGGAAUUGCAUGGGUCUGUCUGCCUGGCAGGAUGUCCCACUGGUCACUAUUCAACCUUACGUGGGUGACACUGGAAAAACUGUGCAGAGAAGCUGGUAUUGCCCUAAAAUGCGACAAGGCUGACCAGCAGCAGAUAAAAAUAUAGGACCCUGGGCACUUAGGGACAGGGUGUGCCAAGGCCACCAUUCCUACGGUCUUGUGCCAGAUGUGAGGGAGAAGUCCCGCCUGGCCUGCAGCUGCAGUAGGGAGAAGAGGGGUGGGAGGCCACGGGACAGAGCAGCACGCAGGUGCUCGGGAGCCAAGUCCUGGCAGGGAGUCUCAUGGGGCUGGGCUUGCGUGAUAACCCAGGAGCUGCUGGCCCAGAGAAGAUGAGCGUCUGCCAGAGGCUUAAGGCAAGAGGGGGUGACAGGGACUGGAGUGAGCGUGGUUGCUGCUCAGGGUCCUCUGCUCCCGCCCCUCUGCCUGUCCCCUGGUAUGGGAGAACGUGAGGAUCACAGAGCGGCCCUGCAGCCCUCUGGGGAGAAAGCAGCAUGUUCCAAAGGCGUUGACAGCGGCAGAGACCCAGCUGCAGGGUCAGGAAGCCCCGUCUUAGUCCCUUCACUUUCCGCAUGGGGGUCAGGCCAGCAGGGCCACACUCCCACCCUGUGCUGUCCUCAGGGCCAGCCUGUGGCUGGUACUAAGAAUGCAGAGAGCCUGGACUCUCCAUCCUGCAGCAAGUCUUUCCAGAGAAUUCAGCCUCACUCCUUCUACACCCUGCGGCUGGGCUCAGCUAUUCUUACCUGCACAGUUCCCCUUCUCUCUGGGCCAUGGCAGAGCCACUCGGCCCUCAUGACCCCUGUAAAUGGACACCAAGAGAGGCCACAGCCCCAGGAGAGAUGGCCCCAGCCAAGAUCCCCUGGGCCAAAACCCCAGGUAGCCCCGGGGUCCGACUUUGUCUCUCCUGUGGAAGGUAGUGGAUGGUCACGUCCGGAAGCCUCUGGAUCAGCUGGCAGCUCAGUCUCUGCCCGCCACCAUUCUGUCCCUCACCCACGGUAGCCACCCCGCAGCUAGCCCCUUGCCCCUGCAUCCAGUAGGAACUGCAGCCGCGAAGAGGGGAGAAGCCCACCCAGUCCUGCUUCCACAGCUGGCAGGGCAGCUCUAGGAUGACAGCCGGAAGCUGCCCUCUGCCUCCACACUCGCCACUCCCCUACUUAGGACAAGGAGGUUCCUCGGAUCUCUACUUGCCUCCUAUCAGCCAGCGGCCCCAUGGGAUGGGGGGGUCCCAAUGACCCCUUUAGAAGGAGCACAGAGAGGGUGAGCGCUGAAGAAAAGGGAAGCACCAGAGAAUAACUAAGCAUUUGUGCAAGAGCUGUGCGGGAUUUCAGCAAUUCUCCCUCACGCUUCCUUCUGGCCUUAACACAAAGGGUGUCCAAUGCUCCUUCCAGGAGAGGAUGCUCCUCUCCAAGCUGCACUGAUGGCCUUGCCUUUUCUCUGGAGAUGUUUGCCAUACUUUGCUGAACUGAGAGCACUCGCUCUUCCUUCUCCUCCAUGGCUAUGUCAGGCAGCUCGGCUCUGUGAUGCCAUUACCAACGUGCUCCCAGCACCAACAGGAGACAAGUUCCACCACGCUACGGCGACAGAGGCCUCUUCCCCGGAAAUGGUUAGAACUGAGUCACCAAGGAUGGGUGUGAGCAUCAUGCCGAGAGGUCCCCAGUGUAUAGAACUACAGUGCCUGGCCCGUGUGAGCACGCUGGUGCUGCACAGACACCGGGCUCCUGCUGUGGGCCUGACAGGAGACAGAUGCACAGACCCCGCCACAUUCUGCAGGCGGCGGCGCAGCACAUGUGGGCGAGAGGCGGCAGCUGCCAAGGAUGACAGCUCCCCAGCUCUGACCAGCCAAGAAGCAUGCGGCUCCCUGCAGCUCAGCCACUUGUGGUGACAGUGAUUGACACAUAAGAGCAUCCUCCCUCUGACCACCCAGGGCCUGUGGCGGUGUUCCAGAUCCACCCGCCUCGCUGGUCCCGUUACGGGGCCCAGCAAUGUGGAUACCAGCACCCAGCGGAGGAGUGUGCAGGCCUGGCAGAGUCAUCUCCCAGACAGAUCCAGCUUGACUGGGUCCGAACAGGAGGCAGCAGGUCCUUCCACAGCCAAGACACACAGACUGUGACCUGCAAAGCUCGGUUGACGUUUAACCAAAUAGGGACAUCAACCUUUGUUCCUCUGAUGUAGCUUUCCUGCUUUGAAAUAAAGCACUUUUCAUUAUUUUCACCUUAAA